This 339-nucleotide unclassified non-coding RNA is filed under the name soil metagenome. RNAcentral describes it as "partial contains 5.8S ribosomal RNA, internal transcribed spacer 2, and large subunit ribosomal RNA". The stretch from base 1 to 120 matches the Rfam family "5.8S ribosomal RNA", at positions 35 to 154 of the family's 154-position model. The record is from RNAcentral.
GAUGAAGAACGUAGCGAAAUGCGAUAAGUAGUGUGAAUUGCAGAAUUCAGUGAAUCAUCGAAUCUUUGAACGCACAUUGCGCCCCUCGGUAUUCCGUGGGGCAUGCCUGUUCGAGCGUCAUUUAACCCCUUAAGCCUAGCUUGGUAUUGGGUGCUUGUCCCGCCUCUCGCGCGGCGACUCACCUCAAAGUCAUUGGCAGCCCGCAUCUCGCCGGCCGUGAGCGCAGCACAGACGCGCUCUUGGCAACGACGGAUCGGCUCUCCAAAAGCUUAUUUCAACCACUGACCUCGGAUCAGGUAGGGAUACCCGCUGAACUUAAGCAUAUCAAUAAGCGGAGGA